GACGAACGCUGGCGGCGUGCUUAACACAUGCAAGUCGAACGGAAAGGCCCUGCUUUUGUGAGGUGCUCGAGUGGCGAACGGGUGAGUAACACGUGAGUAACCUGCCCUUGACUUUGGGAUAACUUCAGGAAACUGGGGCUAAUACCGGAUAGGAGCUCCUGCUGCAUGGUGGGGGUUGGAAAGUUUCGGCGGUUGGGGAUGGACUCGCGGCUUAUCAGCUUGUUGGUGGGGUAGUGGCUUACCAAGGCUUUGACGGGUAGCCGGCCUGGGAGGGUGACCGGCCACAUUGGGACUGAGAUACGGCCCAGACUCCUACGGGAGGCAGCAGUGGGGAAUAUUGCACAAUGGGCGGAAGCCUGAUGCAGCAACGCCGCGUGCGGGAUGACGGCCUUCGGGUUGUAAACCGCUUUCGCCUGUGACGAAGCGUGAGUGACGGUAAUGGGUAAAGAAGCACCGGCUAACUACGUG
RNAcentral lists this ribosomal RNA (468 nucleotides) under uncultured bacterium. Its description in RNAcentral is "partial 16S ribosomal RNA". It matches the Rfam family "Bacterial small subunit ribosomal RNA", at positions 28 to 507 of the family's 1533-position model. The record is from RNAcentral.